This 240-nucleotide unclassified non-coding RNA is filed under the name soil metagenome. RNAcentral describes it as "partial contains 5.8S ribosomal RNA, internal transcribed spacer 2, and large subunit ribosomal RNA". The record is from RNAcentral.
AAGACUAUAGACCUGCGGAGUACCUGCGGAGGGAUCAUUACCGAGUGAGGGCCCUCUGGGUCCAACCUCCCACCCGUGUUUAUCGUACCUUGUUGCUUCGGCGGGCCCGCCGCCAGGCCGCCGGGGGGCAUCUGUCCCCGGGUCCGCGCCCGCCGAAGACACCUGUGAACGCUGUCUGAAGAUUGCAGUCUGAGCGAAAAGCUAAAUUAUUAAAACUUUUAGCAAUGGAUCUCUAGAUCG